CUGCCGGCCAAGCCCGCUACAGUCCGGCGUCCAGGGCAGCUGUUCUCUUUAUACCCAGGACGAGAGCAGAAGAAUGGUGUCCUGCAAAACAGAAGGGCACAGGGUCCUUAAGAGCCCCUGGCAAUGGGAAAUACAAGUGCUGCCAUACCCUGAACUCAACUGUCAACCUUUUAAACUUCCGGCUGAAUGGGCGAAGAGGAGGCGGGUCAGGUGCCGGGAGGGCCAGUUGGCACGUUUACCUCCAGACACCAUUUCCAAGGAGGCAUUAGCAGCUUCCUAUCUGAACAAACAGGAAGCCUAUUAAAAACGCCAUUGUCCUUUCCCGCCUGUGCUGACAAGACUGUUAAAUGCCAAGUCUACAGAGCUUUGCCAAGUUGAGAGACCCAGGGGACGUGCAGCUGCUGGGGCCACCUGUGUCUGUCUGAGUCCAGCUGAGAGAUUUCCUCUUUGGGCACCCCAUUGUGGAGUGACGGGUCCCACGGAGUGAGGGGCAGGCAGAGGACUGAAGGAGGGAGGGGUGGAAGAGAGCGGUUCGCCCGUUGCCGACGGCUGAGAGCACGCAGCCAGUUCCCCUUCUCGCUCUGCUCUGCUCAGUCAGGAAUUCGGCUCUGCCCGCCACCCGGGUCUCGGAAACGUUCUGGCUGGGAAUCAAGUCCAAGAUGAAACACCUGCCUUCCACUGCCGUCCCACACGCACAAUGCACCACAUGCCAGUUGGCAGUGGAGCGAAAGAGGCCCAUUAAAGAAAAGUUCCUGACAUUAUUAAGAAGUGCAGUCCUGCCAUUGUGCGUGCAUGCUCUCUCUCUCUCUCACACACGCUCUCUCUCUCACACACACACACGCACUCUACAGGCCUCUAAAGCUUUGUGCAUGUCCCAUGUCCCUGGCUACUUCACUGUCAAUCAAACACUGAAUAAGAGAGAGAGCCCUCUCCUCUGUGGAUAACAGGUGUUCUUCUAAGAGGGAGACGGGAGGAUCAGACAGAGAGAAGGAGAUGUGACCACGGAAGAAGAGGAUGGAGCCAUGUUGGGCCACAAGCCAAGGAAUACAGGAAGCUUCUAGAAGCUGGAAAAGGCAAGGAAAUGGAUUAUCCACUAGAGCCUCCAGAAGGAAUGCCGGCCCACCGACACCUUGAUCUUAGCCCAGGAAAACUGAUUUGGGACGUCUGACCUCCAAAACUAGGCUGGGCUAGCCUUACUACACAUGGAGGAGGUCGGGUGGCACUCAGGAUGCUGAAAGAACAAGAAAUAUGGCACUAAAACUAGAAGUGGAUUAUGCUACUUAACGGCUGAAAACUGAGGACUGGAAACUUGUAUCUCUACCUUCGAUCUGUGUUGUCAAGCAUUGAUCACUUGAAAUGCGGCUAGUGCAGCUGAAGACUGGAUUUUCAAUUCUGUUUAUUUUAUGAAAUUUAAGCUUAAAUCUUAAAAUGAUACACACUUGACUUAUUGGGAAGCUUUUAAGUAUUUUAGAACAACUUGGCCACAUGAAUCUACUUUUUCAAUUGUACGUUUUAUAAAAUCUAAAUACAGAUUAAGCAUUUCUGAUAAAAAUUUAGCGUCUAAAUUGAGAUGUGCCAGAUUUUGAAGACUUAGUAUGAGAAAAAGAAUAACAUAUCUCAUUAAUAAUUUUAUAUUAAUUGUGUGUUGAAAUAAGAAUAUUUUGGAUAUAUUGGACUAAAUUAAAAUAUAUUAUUAACAUUAAUUUCACCUGUUUCUUUUUACCUUUUUCUGAUAUGGCUACUAGAAAAUUUAAAAUUAUGUAGUGGGCCACAUUGUUUCCAUUGGCCAGCACUGCCUUGAAUGAUCAUUGUUAUUCUUCCUAAACACAUCUUGAGCAAGAUCGGAAAUUUUUGAUCACUUCUUAUGAACAUGUCUUCCAAUUUUUUUUUCCCCAGGAAUAUUAGCCCUGAACUCACAUCUGCUGCCAAUCUUCCUCUUUUUGCUGAGGAAGACUGGCCCUGAGCUAACAUCCAUGCCCAUCUUCCUCUACUUUAUAUGUGGGACAACUGCCACGGUAUGGCUUGAUAAGCAAUGUGUAGGUCUGUGCCUGGGAUCCAAACCAGUGAACCCGGGGCCCCGAAGCGGAAGAAUAGAGUGUCUCCAUGCCACCUGCUCAUCACCACUCUGCACUCUGAUCUUGAUUUAUUAAGUGGAGCUCAAACCAUUGCUCUUUACAGAAGAUCUAUAGCUCAGAGAUGCUGAACUACACAGGAAUUGAAACAAGACCGGGAAGAGCGGAAGGAAACGGCUUAUCUCUUCGACAUCUUUUUCCAAUUGUUAGUUCAUUGUUUUGGGUUGUUAAUGGUAAGACAGAAAAAAGUAAAGAGAGAAGGGCGGGGGCAGACCCGGGCUCCACACUGCCUUCAGCCGUUUAACUUCUGGCUUCAUUCCCUUUUAUGAACUGCAUUUACCCUCCCUCACUUGCUCUCUUGCAAAACAGUUGCAAAAGAACGUUAACAGGAGGAGGAUCAAGGAUCUUGUUUUCUUUUCAUUCUUUUUGAUUUAUGUUCCUUUGUCCUGAAAGCUCCUGUAAUCUCCCGCGUCUUCAGAUCCAGUUUCCUGCUGACAGGGUGAAGGCUGCAAAAACUCUCCGGGCUUUGAGAUAAAGCAUCCCAAGCUGGAUCAGGAGCUACGCAUACUUUCUCCCUCGAGCCUUCUCUUAAAUGUUUGGAACUCUAGAACUCCUUCCUUGAGAAUGAGGAAAAGCAAACAUCACAGGUUGUGACUUUGGAAGCCUGUAAACCGAGCUUUUUGUUGACUCUGGUGGGAGUAAGGCCUUGAACUGCACUGGUCUGGUAAUUUCUUUACUGCAGCGGACAUUCACUGAGCUGCUACUAUGUGGCACCAGCCAGGGCUGCAGGCGAGGCACAGAGAAACCUGAUGGGGUCCUGCCUACAGGAGCUCGCUUGUAAAACAGUCGGAGGCAAAUACCAGCAGUCUUCUAAGACCCCACAAUACACUGCGUCAGAUAACCCUGCUCGACACUCUUCCAGCAGCCUGUUGCUUCCUGGUAUCUUACAUUAAAAAAAUACAUUUAUACAUUUACUUCUGUAAUGAUUACUGUCUUGCUUUCUCACUUGUUUCUAAGCUCUGUGAGCUCCAGGAGGGGAGGGCUGUGUCUAUUUUGAUCAUCGUUAUGUUCUCAGCCUCAAUCUGGCACAUUCUUGUGAAAGGUGACCUGAGUGGAGCCACAUUAAAAUAGAGCCAGAGCAGCCAUUUCAGAGGACUCGCCUUGCAUGUCUUAUUUUAUUUCUCUUCCAAAGUGGAC
Molecule: long non-coding RNA, 3269 nt
Organism: Equus caballus (horse)
Lineage: Eukaryota; Metazoa; Chordata; Mammalia; Perissodactyla; Equidae
Source: Ensembl